Long non-coding RNA from Engraulis encrasicolus (European anchovy), 713 nucleotides. RefSeq lists it as uncharacterized. The transcript is spliced from 3 exons. The record is from RefSeq and is a predicted model, not a curated record. Lineage: Eukaryota; Metazoa; Chordata; Actinopteri; Clupeiformes; Engraulidae.
UAAUGGUGGCUAAGACACCAGUUUUAUAAAAACAGCCAGAAUGGGUAGACUUGCUGGAACUCUCCCGGGAUUUGUUUGUGUUCAGCACGGUGCGUGUGUGGUUGCUGUAGGCUGAGGUCCGACUGUUUCCAGCCUACUGCAUGUCUCCUCUCUGAAGGUUUAAGGGUAGCCAGGUGAUCACCCUUGGCACACGGAGUCUGUUGUGCGCCGUAUCCACCUGUUUUGAGAGGGUACCAUCGAGGGUCAUAGCUGUUCGCCGCUGUUUUGCCCAGAGUGAUUUUAGCAUUCUGUUUGUUGUUUUGGUUUUAUUUUGUCCGCCCGCCAUACUCUCUUUAUUUUGUUUCUGUAGCCUAAUUCAUGCUCGCAGGGCAGGUCCCAGUAGUAGAGAGCUCUAGUAUAUUAUUAGUAGCUUAGACGUGUGACGUGAAUGCUCACCUGUGUAGUGGGUAACCAUACUGAUUGAAUCAUUUGCUUAGCGUGGGUAGCCAUACUGAUUGAAUCACUGACUUAGCUAGUACGCCUAUGUGUGUGUAUGUACCGCGCGUGCUGUGUGCUAAAACAUAGGCCAUUUGUUUCUGAGCACGAGUGGUGAACAACACAUAGCUCUGUCCUUAACUGACAGCCUGCCCUGUUAGCUUGACCCUAGGCCUACCAUCAUUUAGGUCUAGGCUACCUGUAGACUAUUUGUCUGUUUUUUUAUUUUAUGUUGGCGG